Molecule: ribosomal RNA, 496 nt
Filed under: uncultured bacterium
Lineage: Bacteria
Description: bacterial SSU rRNA
Rfam family: Bacterial small subunit ribosomal RNA
Source: RNAcentral
CAGGACGAACGCUGGCGGCGUGCUUAACACAUGCAAGUCGAACGGAACACCCUUGACAGAGGUUUCGGCCAAUGAAGAGGAAUGUUUAGUGGCGGACUGGUGAGUAACGCGUGAGGAACCUGCCUUUCAGAGGGGGACAACAGUUGGAAACGACUGCUAAUACCGCAUGAAGCAGCGAGGGGACAUCCCCUUGCUGUCAAAGAUUUAUCGCUGAAAGAUGGCCUCGCGUCUGAUUAGCUAGUUGGUGGGGUAACGGCCCACCAAGGCGACGAUCAGUAGCCGGACUGAGAGGUUGACCGGCCACAUUGGGACUGAGAUACGGCCCAGACUCCUACGGGAGGCAGCAGUGGGGAAUAUUGGGCAAUGGACGCAAAGUCUGACCCAGCAACGCCGCGUGAAGGAAGAAGGCUUUCGGGUUGUAAACUUCUUUUAACAGGGAAGAGAAGAAGACGGUACCUGUUGAAUAAGCCACGGCUAACUACGUGCCAGCCGCAGC